AUUUAGGACAGAACAAGGGGCUGCCACCUGGGCCUAAUUAGACUUCCUCUUGCAGGAUAAGCCCCACACAGCAGAGUAUUCCCAGCACAAUUGUGCCUCUCAGCUCCCCUUACUGCUGCUGCUGCUAAGUCGCUUCAGUCGUGUCCAACUCUGUGUGACCCCAUAGAUGGAAGCCCACCAGGCUCCCCUGUCCCUGGGACUCUCCAGAGCUGACAAGCACUUCCCACUCCCAGCUGUACAGAUGUCAGACCAGCAAUCUACGCCCUUGUCGAGGUGGCCCCACACAGCUUCUCAUGGCAUCUCCGCUGCAGGGUCUCUGGACCUCAGGACCCUUCAGCCAGCUCUGCUCUCAGUUUCUGCACUACUCGGACAUUGUUCUCCCUCUGCCACUGAGGAUUUGUCUGUAUAACAGCCGAGUUUCCAGAAGUUCAUUCACUCAGGUGGUGAGGUGAAGCCUAGAGUUUUGAUGACUUGCUCAAAAAUCCUAGGAACCCCUGUGCUGCAGAAGCUCUUCUCCUCUGACCGUAACAAACCCUCAGGCCCUGCUUAAGUCUCAGCUCUUCCAUGUGGCCCCACAGGCCCUCGGCUUCCAUCUACCCCAUUAGCGACACUGCCAGGCAUCUUUCUGCAUCAAGUCAGAGCUCCAGGCUCCUGGCUGUGGCCGAAGCAGGGAAGCACAAAUGAGAAAGGCAUGAACUGAGAGUCCCAGUGGGGAAAUGACCGUGAAGCAGCUUCCUGGGGAUAGAGCCUGUUGGGCCUGUUCCUCUUCUCUGCUGUUGGUAGAAAAGCACUUCUGACCCACUGUUACCUCUGCUGAGGAUGUGGCCAAGAUAU
Molecule: long non-coding RNA, 834 nt
Organism: Bos taurus (domestic cattle)
Lineage: Eukaryota; Metazoa; Chordata; Mammalia; Artiodactyla; Bovidae
Source: Ensembl